RNAcentral lists this unclassified non-coding RNA (211 nucleotides) under uncultured Trechispora. RNAcentral's name for it is "sequence contains ITS2". The record is from RNAcentral. Lineage: Eukaryota; Fungi; Basidiomycota; Agaricomycetes; Polyporales; Polyporaceae.
AGUCAUCAACCCCUCCCGUUUCGUGCGGAGAGGUGAGUUGGAGCUGGGGGCUUGCGGCCGAAAGGUCGCUCCCCUCAAAUGCUUCGGUUGGGCCUGUGGAUCAAACUCGGUUGGGCGUUGUAACAACCUCGCUCUUGUCUGAGACAUUCCCCUCUGUUUGUGCCCUUCCACGACCUGCCUUCAUGAGCGGCGGUCAAAAAACAACUUUGAA